Molecule: long non-coding RNA, 316 nt
Filed under: Vitis vinifera (wine grape)
Lineage: Eukaryota; Viridiplantae; Streptophyta; Magnoliopsida; Vitales; Vitaceae
Description: long non-coding RNA (VVIN_LNC007515)
Source: RNAcentral
GACGGUUGCAGAAGGAGGUGAAUGAGCUGAGAGCACUGAAACUUUCCCCACAGUUCUACAUGCAAAUGACCCCACCCACAACCCUCACCAUGUGCCCAUCAUGUGAGCGUGUGGCGGUCCCACCUCCCUCGUCGGAGGCUCGCUCCCACCAGAUGGCCACCACCCACCACCGUCCCAUCCCCAUCAACCCUUGGGCCACCGCCACUCCCAUCCCCCACCGCCCCUUCGACGCCCUCCAUCCUCGCUCCUGAUUAGCACAGUUGUCGAAGGGCUUUUUGGUCAUUAAAAAUUAUGUGUACGAAAGGAGAGGAAGGAG